This 459-nucleotide long non-coding RNA is filed under the name Chloebia gouldiae (Gouldian finch). RNAcentral describes it as "Erythrura gouldiae (Gouldian finch) lncRNA (ENSEGOG00005003409.1)". The record is from RNAcentral. Lineage: Eukaryota; Metazoa; Chordata; Aves; Passeriformes; Passeridae.
CCUUGGCCCUGCUGCACAGCUCUACUCAAAAGCAGCGUGAAAGAGCAGUAUGGGGUGAACAUAGCCUCCUGGGCUGAGAACAACAGCUUUGCCACUUCCUGACUCUUGGGUCUUGUCUACUAGGCAAAUUUUGAGAACGAAAUUCCCACCAGUGCUUUGAGCGUGUCUGAAAUUAAGAAAACUCGAUUGGAUUUAACUUGGGGUCGGAAGAAACUCCUGCCUCCUGGAUCUGGUUUCGACUCCCCGACAGCUAAGAAUGUUGACUUUGAAAGCUCAGGGAAGAAGCAGCAGGGAGAAGAAAGUAACACAGUGUUCUCAGAAGUUGAAAUGGCUGGACAAAGUGAACUUAUUGACGGCUGCAGCUGGUGGCAUAUAGGUGUGCCUUUCCCUGCCAGACUUCUGGUAAUCAAUUCACGUGUACAAUCUCUGCUUCCAAUGCUUGUUUCCAUGACAUAUGUU